Physeter macrocephalus (sperm whale) is the source of this 1301-nucleotide long non-coding RNA. RefSeq lists it as uncharacterized. The transcript is spliced from 5 exons. Lineage: Eukaryota; Metazoa; Chordata; Mammalia; Artiodactyla; Physeteridae. The record is from RefSeq and is a predicted model, not a curated record.
GUUCCGGACGUCCGGGCUUCGGCUCCGCGGGGAGCGAGGCUGCUCGAAGGCGAGCGAGGCAGCGGAGCUGUGCGUGCGCGCGUGAGAGAAACAGCCUGAAGGACAAAGCUGUUGAGUUCUAGAAAGAGAUAACUUAAAUGUACGUGGGGGAGUUUCUUGCUUUUUGGGAGGUCUGAGGUCUUCUGCCAGCGUUCAGUAGGUGUUGCAUAGUUGUUCCACAUGUAGAUGUAUUUCUGAUGUAUCUGUGGGGAAGAAGGUGAUCUCCGCAUCUUACUCUUCCACCAUCUUCUCCUUGAGCGUCCUCAGUGCGUGAGACAGAGAUGAGGAAGAAUCUGCGAAGCACUAGGAAACAAGACUAAAUGAGCACCUUGAGGAAACUGCAAAGUAGUUUCUACUUUAUCAGGAUUUUCAAUUCCAGCCAUGUGGCUGACAGGGUAUUGGUGCUCCGGCCAGGUGUCAGGCGUGAGCCUCAGAGGUGGAAGAGCUGAGCUCAGGAUAUUGGACUAUCAAAGACAUCCCAGCCCUACAUAAUAUCAAUUGGUGAGAGCUCUCCCAGAGAUCUCCGUCUCAACACUAAGACCCAGCUACACUCACUGACAAGCAAGCUCAAGUGCUGGACACCCCAUGCUAAACAACUAGCAAGACAGGAACACAACCCCACUCAUUAGCAGAGAGGUUGCCAGAAAUCAUAAUAACGUCACAGACACCCCAAAACACACCACCAGACUCGGUCCAGCCCACCAGAAAGACAAGAUCCAGAUUCAUCCACCAGAACACAGGCACCAGUCUCUUCCACCAGGAAGCCUACACAACACACUGAACCAACCCCACCCACUGAGGGCAGACACCAAAAACAACGGGAACUAUGAACCUGCAGCCUGCAAAAAGGAGACCCCAAACACAGUAAGUUAAGCAAAAUGAGAAGACAGAGAAAUAGACAACUGGUGAAGGAGUAAGUUAAAAACCGACCAGACCAAACAAAUGAAGAGGACAUAGGCAGUCUACCUGAAAAAGAAUUCAGAGUAAUUAGAGUAAACAUGAUCUAAAAUCUUGGAAAGAGAAUGGAGAACAUACAAGAAAUGUUUAACAAGGACCUAGAAGAACUAAAGAGGAAACAAACAAUGAUGAACAACACAAUAAAUGAAAUUAAAAAAUCUCUAGAAGGAAUCAAUAGCAGAAUAACUUGAGGCAGAAGAACGGAUAAGUGACCUGGAAGAUAAAAUAGUGGAAAUAACUACACAGAGCAGAAUAAAGAAAAAAGAAUGAAAAGAAUUGAGGACAGUCUCAGAGACCUCUGGGAC